AUACGUAGGGGGCGAGCGUUGUCCGGAAUGAUUGGGCGUAAAGGGCGCGUAGGCGGCCCGGUAAGUCUGGAGUGAAAGUCCUGUUUUUAAGAUGGGAAUUGCUUUGGAUACUGUCGGGCUUGAGUGCAGGAGAGGUAAGUGGAAUUCCCAGGGUAGCGGUGAAAUGCGUAGAGAUUGGGAGGAACACCAGUGGCGAAGGCGACUUACUGGACUGUAACUGACGCUGAGGCGCGAAAGUGUGGGGAGCAAACAGGAUUAGAUACCCUGGUAGUCCACACUGUAAACGAUGAAUGCUAGGUGUAGGGGGUAUCGACCCCUUCUGUGCCGCAGCUAACGCAAUAAGUAUUCCACCUGGGGAGUACGUUCGCAAGAAUGAAACUCAAAUGAAUUGACGGGG
RNAcentral lists this ribosomal RNA (397 nucleotides) under uncultured bacterium. RNAcentral's name for it is "partial 16S ribosomal RNA". It matches the Rfam family "Bacterial small subunit ribosomal RNA", at positions 523 to 918 of the family's 1533-position model. The record is from RNAcentral.